Molecule: small RNA, 45 nt
Filed under: Sinorhizobium meliloti 2011
Lineage: Bacteria; Pseudomonadati; Pseudomonadota; Alphaproteobacteria; Hyphomicrobiales; Rhizobiaceae
Description: putative ncRNA
Source: RNAcentral
AUUGGAAGGGUCGCGCUCGAUUUUCUGGCGCAGCCGGUAGACAUG